Molecule: long non-coding RNA, 1057 nt
Filed under: Cercocebus atys (sooty mangabey)
Lineage: Eukaryota; Metazoa; Chordata; Mammalia; Primates; Cercopithecidae
Description: lncRNA (ENSCATG00000045492.1)
Source: RNAcentral
GUGAGGCCUCUGAGGGGACCCGGCGGUGGCGGCCACGGCGAGACGGGCCGCCCACCAGUUGAACUCCGACAGCUGAGGCGGCUGAGGAGAUUAGACUCCAGAGAUAAUGAUAUUAGGAAAUCUAAACUGAAAUGGACCCCAGAGCAAUUGAAGAAAGAAAGAGUCAAGCUUCGAAGCUGUGGGAUGUCAGCACGGGCCAUUUGAUGAAGCCCUUCAGGUCUCGGCAGGAAGAAAGAAUGAAGAGAUCAUUAAAACCGAGAGCAUGUUUCCAAGAUCCAGAUUAUCACUCUCCAAAAGCAACUUGAGACCAUAAAACUCCUUCAACCUAUACUGGGGUAAUUCUAGUUGCCUUUACUUUGUUCUCUUUAUAGUAGUAAGCAGACAUAGAUGAUAUUAUUUGUUUACAAUUGUUCUUCCCCUCUCUGCCUUUACCAUGGAUUCUCCAUGUGUAGAAUAGACUUCCCCAAUCCAAGUGAUGUUUGGAUUGUUUAUAUGAUUUACUUUGACCAAUGAAAUGUGUACACAAUUGAGAGUAUGACGGUUUUGAGUUAAAAACCUCAAAGAAAUAUGGAAAGUUUCUGCCAAUACUCUUGCAAAUCUAUACUCUUUCAUGAGAAGAAUAUUAACUGUUGAGCAGCUGCUGGUUCCAGAAUGAAGAGACAUGCAAAAUGGACAUGCUGUCAAUUGUAGCCGGGAGCCAAGCCAGGCAAGCCCACUCAAGUCCAUUUGACCAACAUCUGACCUGUAGAUCUGUGAGAAAGAAAUAAAUAUUGUGGUUGUAAGCCAAUGAGAAUUAGAGAAGGGUCCUUGUAAGGCAGCAGUAAUGUAGAAAAUCUGAGUAAUAUAGCAGAAUAGUUUCACAGUGAUGGUCAAUAUCCAGAUGGGCUCCUUGGGAAAGAGGCUCUGAUUUGGUGAUGCAGUAAAGAUACUUAUGGUUUUGAGCAGAGGGUGGGGUUCAGAUAGUAUAAGAAGAUGAGUACCACAGAGAAUUUGUACCAAGGGUAACUCUUGAGAACAAUAAUAUCUGAGCCACAGAAGAAUGUUAGGCAAGAGCCCC